UACGUAGGGACCAAGCGUUGUUCGGAUUUACUGGGCGUAAAGGGCGCGUAGGCGGCGUGGUAAGUCACUUGUGAAAUCUCCGAGCUUAACUCGGAACGGUCAAGUGAUACUGCUGUGCUAGAGUGCAGAAGGGGCAAUCGGAAGUUCUUGGUGUAGCGGUGAAAUGCGUAGAUAUCAAGAGGAACACCUGAGGUGAAGACGGGUUGCUGGGCUGACACUGACGCUGGAGGCGCGAAAGCUAGGGUAGCAAACGGG
This 255-nucleotide ribosomal RNA is filed under the name uncultured bacterium. RNAcentral's name for it is "partial 16S ribosomal RNA". It matches the Rfam family "Bacterial small subunit ribosomal RNA", at positions 524 to 776 of the family's 1533-position model. The record is from RNAcentral.